CUUCUUGUGUCUUUCCAGGGUGGCAGAUUUCCCAAUUCUGGAUCCGUUUCCUGUGCUUUAUCAGCUGUUGUUGUGGCUGCUGUAUUUAAUAUUGCCCUUCUUUCAUGUGACCUGCAUUAACUACUUCUAGGAACACAUAUAUUUCUUUCUGAUGCUUCUAAGUUUGAUGAGUGAGGUGGUCUUACACAUAACCUAAGACAUUAUCCUUUUAUUGGUUCUAAGCCCAUAAAUUCAACUUCUAUAGCUGCCUGAACCAUGCUAGUCUGAUUCAUUCAUACUCUCUCCCAUGUUGGUCAGAGGUGGUCAUGAGAUGUUCCCAUCUGGACAGUAGAGGUGUUCAUCUGCUUUCCACCUCACCCUGCCAUUUUGCCCUUUUGCUUCAUGUUCUCCUAGAUGCCCUUCUGCCUCAGCUAGAUCUUGCCCUAGACCUACUAUGAGCAAGUGGUCAUGCUGAAUCUGGUAUGUGCAGACAUCACAUAUAUAGUCCGUACCUGUGGUCUCUUAUGGCCUUUUCUGUGGUUGGAUUUGAUAUAUUUGUCAUUAGAACCACAGAUAUCAGACAUUGCAGGCUGUACUGUAGCUACCUGCAGAGAAUCUCUGCCCAAGGUAUUUAGCAUAUAUGCCUUCCACAUUUGUGUCACCCUGUUCCUGCACAUCUCAGUAUUCUACUCCUUUUUCUCUUGUUGCUUUUGCUACCAUACACUCACAGUGAUUCCCAUCUCCUUGCUCAUCCUUUACUCAUUAGUGCCUUCCAUGUUCAAUACCAUCACCUGUGGGGUAAAGAGUAAGCAUAUCCAAGAAAACAUGGUACAGAGAUUUUGUGGGAAA
Molecule: long non-coding RNA, 828 nt
Filed under: Homo sapiens (human)
Lineage: Eukaryota; Metazoa; Chordata; Mammalia; Primates; Hominidae
Description: non-protein coding lnc-OR52R1-1:1
Source: RNAcentral